Molecule: non-coding RNA, 543 nt
Organism: Castor canadensis (American beaver)
Lineage: Eukaryota; Metazoa; Chordata; Mammalia; Rodentia; Castoridae
Source: RefSeq, a predicted model, not a curated record
GGAGAAAUAAAAACUUACAGAUGGAAUGUCCCUAAAAGAUCAGGUCCAGGGCCCUCUGAUCCUAAUUGUAUUCCAUGGGUUUACUAUUCAACAGUAAACUUUGUGAAGGAUACAUAUAGUGGUUUGAUGGGUCCUCUGUUUACAUGUCGAGAAGGAGUAUUGAAUGAAAAGGGAAAAAGAAGUGAUGUUGACUCCACUAAUGGGAAGAUUUUUGGAAAUCUCCAUGGCCUCAUAAUGAACGAAGAUACAAUGACAAACUGGUAUUUGUUAGGAAUAGGAAAUGAAGUAGAUAUACAUACCAUCCAUUACCACACUGAGAGCUUUCUUUUCAAAAUAAAUCUUACCGAGAAGAUGUAUACGAUCUCUUUCCUGGGACAUUCCAAACCAUUGAACUGUUUGCAGAUCACCCAGGAACAUGGCUACUACACUGUCAUGUGUCUGACCACAUCCAUGCUGGCAUGGAGACAACCUACACAGUACUCCGGAACAUAGACAACAGGAUUCCAUACUCCACUAAGUCUCCUUCUGGAGGAGUAUCCCACC